UACGUAGGGUGCGAGCGUUGUCCGGAAUUAUUGGGCGUAAAGAGCUUGUAGGCGGUUCGUCGCGUCGGCUGUGAAAUCCCGAGGCUCAACCUCGGGUCUGCAGUCGAUACGGGCGGACUUGAGUUCGGCAGGGGAGACUGGAAUUCCUGGUGUAGCGGUGAAAUGCGCAGAUAUCAGGAGGGACACCGGUGGCGAAGGCGGGUCUCUGGGCCGAUACUGACGCUGAGGAGCGAAAGCGUGGGGAGCGAACAGG
Molecule: unclassified non-coding RNA, 253 nt
Filed under: uncultured Frankiales bacterium
Lineage: Bacteria; Bacillati; Actinomycetota; Actinomycetes; Frankiales
Description: contains 16S-23S intergenic spacer region
Rfam family: Bacterial small subunit ribosomal RNA
Source: RNAcentral